UACAGAGGUCUCAAGCGUUGUUCGGAUUCAUUGGGCGUAAUGGGUGCGUAGGUGGCGCCGUAAGUCGGGUGUGAAAUUUCGGAGCUUAACUCCGAAACUGCAUUCGAUACUGCGGUGCUUGAGGACUGGAGAGGAGACUGGAAUUCAUGGUGUAGCAGUGAAAUGCGUAGAUAUCGUAAGGAAGACCAGUGGCGAAGGCGGGUCUCUGGACAGUUCCUGACGCUGAGGCACGAAGGUCAGGGGAGCAAACGGG
This 253-nucleotide ribosomal RNA is filed under the name uncultured bacterium. RNAcentral describes it as "partial 16S ribosomal RNA". It matches the Rfam family "Bacterial small subunit ribosomal RNA", at positions 524 to 776 of the family's 1533-position model. The record is from RNAcentral.